Long non-coding RNA from Chelonia mydas (Green sea turtle), 11391 nucleotides. RefSeq lists it as uncharacterized. NCBI's taxonomy places the organism in Eukaryota, Metazoa, Chordata, Testudines, Cheloniidae. The transcript has 3 exons. The record is from RefSeq and is a predicted model, not a curated record.
UGGUAUGUAGAUUGUAAUGGUAGAUUACCUUCAGUCCUUUUGGUACGAUGUCCAUCUGUCUGCAUUUGGAAAGGAAGAUGUCUGUCUGUAUCUGUACGAGUUUUUUCAUGAAGGGGAGAUGUUUAACUCCACAAAACCUAACCCUGUUAAUUGAAAAGCUUCGUGGGGGACAAAAAACUUAAUUUUCGGACUGGAGAAUGAAACCCUUCCCCACACUUUUUGUGUGUCUAAACUAACUUGACAGUGUUUGUCUCAAGGUCACAGGUCUAAAGAUAUUCUGUUAACUGCCUGAUCGCCUGCUUACUGAACAGUGCAGUUGCACAGACUAUAUGCCACCGUGGGCUCUGAGGUUAGGAUUUUCAAAGGAGUUGAGGGGAGCUUGAUGCUCAGCUCUCAUUGGAUUUAAUAGGAUUUGGGCACCUCAUUCCCUUACUUUCCUUUGAAAAUUCCAGCCUGGAUUUAAUCCCUUGAUUUUUUCAUCCAUCCUACUGACUGCUCCCUCUGUUUGCCCCAGCUCAGCAGUAUAAAUGCAAAUUGAUCUGAGGUUCCCUUCUACAGACGGGUGUUCCAUUGGGAAAAACUUUGAUCAUAGAAAGGCUGCAUAGUUUUUAAAGCUUUAUGACAAGAGCAAAAUGGCUGGAAGGAGCAUAUAUAUUGUACUUUAUUGAAGAGGCCCAAUUUAAGCAUACUUUUUCUCUGAAGAGGUCUUACCUGCUGCUGUCAGUAACACCCUAGUUCCACAAGUCCAAAAAGAGGUUUUUCUGCAUGGUCAGUCCAUGCAAUUCACAAUACUUUGUAUAGUCAGUUUAAUUGUUCCCUUCUGUAUAGUUAGAUCCCAUUUUAGGGUGGAUCUUCACACCAUAACAAGGGAAAGACCUGUUAAAGGAACAGAAAAAUGUGAUUUGAAAAUCCCCCAAAACUUGACCUGGAUUUAGACUCCGAUGUAACAUAUGAAACGACUUCUGCCUCUUUUUUUAAAAUUAUCUUUAAGUGAAUGGUCACUUUAAACAGUCUGGGGCUGCACCCAGCUGAUUUGCCUCAUUUAAUCUGAGAUGGCAUUUGUUCCCUUGUGUUAGCUGCAUGAGAGUUAAAAUCAUCUUUUCUGAACCGAAGCUGACUUAGUUGCCUGGACUUGGUACUUUAACAUGUCUUCCUUGUCACUGCUUGUCACAGGGGUCAGCCCACCUGUAGUUCAGAGGGAUUAGGACCCAGGUUUGUAAACCAGCUCUGAGAUUUACCCACAAGGAGAAGAAAUGAAGCAGUCGUAUUUCAGUAAGGAAGGGAUGGUCUUGAGCUUAAGACACAGGGGUGGGGAUCAGGAGCUGCAGCUUUUUUUCCUGGAUCUCACAGAUUUCUCCACUUAACCCCUCUGCAGUAAAACUGGCUUCAUAAGCGCAGGCCAGGUAUACUUUAGUCUGAUUGCUGCAUGUAAGGCACUUUGGGAUUCUCUGAGGGAAGGUCUUAUGGGGUGCAAAACGCCACCAUUGGAGAAAAUAUAAUUUUUAAACCACUGAUGUGUUACAGGAAAUAUCAAAGGAAGACAAAACAGGUGGUGCUGAGAGUAAAAAGGUCGGGGGUGGGGGGGGGGGGGAGAGAAAUGGGGAUUUCUGAUGGGGCUAAACAAGCUUUAACCCCUUCCAGAUGCUGAUGUGAUUUGCAACCUUUUGGGUGAAGCUAUUGUAAAAUGUGUCAUAAAAUCAUAGAAUAUCAGGGUUGGAAGGGACCUCAGGAGGUCAUCUAGUCCAACCCCCUGCUCAAAGUAGGACCAAUCCCAAAUGUCAGCUACUUUUGAGGGAUGUUUCCAGUUUUAUAACGCACACUUGCUACCCAAAUCUGCUCUUCAGGGAUGUGUUCCCUGCGGAAGUCAGCACAAACCCAAUGGUGCUGACUUCCACAUGGUGUCUCAGGGCUUUUCUAUAUAAAGACUUAGUGCGUGGCAAGCAGAGAUGUAAAUCUGCAGUUCCCCAAGUUGCUGUGUGGAUCUUGCUGCUCUGCACUAAAAGUUCUGUAGUCUGCUUUGAGCUAAUGCUAUUGGGGGAAGCGAAGGGACAAAUGGAAAAAUCUAUGGCGCAGCAGAGUUAAGGACUUUAAGUGUAUUAAGUACCAAAAGAAUCUUACCAAUGGUAUUGGUCCAUUACUAGAGGAAACGGUAGAAUUAUCAAUUCAGAAAAGGCAGAAGUGUUCAAUGUGUAUUUCGGGAAAAACCAUGAUGUAAUCAGGCAAAAGAUGAUGCUCUUUCCAUUCCAAUAGUAAUUCCAUGCUAUGUUAAUCAGCUGCUACUGAAGUUAGACGUCUUUAAAUCCGCAGGUCCACAUAACUUGCAUCUGAGGAGCUUGCUGGACCAUUAAUGUUGAGUUUCAAUAACUUAACACUGGUGAGUUCCAGAAGACUGGCAGAAAGUUUUUGUUCCAAUAUUUAAAAAAAGGUAAAUGGGAUGAACCAGGUAAUUAUAGGCCUGUCAAUCUGAUAUCACUCCUAGGCAAGAUAACGGAGUGUCUGAUCCGGGUCUCCAUUACUCAAGAAUUAAAGGAGGGUAUUGUAGUUCAUGCCAAUCAACAUGGGUUUAUAGUUUGACAGGAUCUAUUUUCUAAUUUGAUAUCAUCUUUUGAUUAGAUGAAUUUGGUAGAGAACGGUAACGGUGUUGAUCUGAUAUAUUUAGACUUCUCUUGGUACCUCAUGGCAUUUUGAUUCUAAAAACAAUGAGACUGAUACAAAACGAACAUUGCACACAUUAAAUAGAUUAAAAACUGGCCAACCGAUAGGUCUCAGAAUGUAACUGUAAAUGGGGAAUCGUCAUCGAGUGGGUGUGUUUCUGGCAUUGGAUAUAAAGGAUUCCUAUACUGUGAUAUCGAAGUUGUACGGUAGGUCAGAUCCAGGGAUCUUAUUACAGAUCUAAGGAAGCUUUACUUCCUAAUGAGCUGUGGCCGUGCUUUGUGUUGUGACCUGCAGGACUGGUUGCAGGAUAUGGACAAAAGAACUUUCCCUACCUUUGAAUAAUCUUGGUUUUGUCCCUAGGCUAUGGUGGCACGACAUAUAAUGAUCUCCUUGCAGGUAAUGUACAGAGCUUCAUGGAGCUAUUCCUCCUGUGGAUGGAGGGACUUGAAAAUAGUCGCCAGUGAGACCUGUUUUGGAGCCUUCUGCUUACGAAUAGGGAUGAUAUCCUUGGAGAAAGAAGAGAGCUAAUUAAAUCUUCCGGUGAGAGUUGAGCAGGGAUGAUGGGCAUAGCAGUUAAAGUCUCUUAAAUCAAUUUAACCAGCUCAAAUCAACACACGGUAACACCAAGACAAGGCGGUUUAUAGUUUUCACCUGAUAUAGGAAGUUCCAUUCAAGGGCUUGUCUGCAUGGGGAAAUUGACCAGCAUAGUUUUAUAGUAGAAGCCAGCUUAACCUAUGCUAGUCAAUUUCCCCGUGCAGACAAGCCCAACCACUAGGCCACCCCACUGUCUUUACCUGGCCUGUUAACUCCUGGAGCUGCAGCUUUUGCUUUUUGCCCUGUUAGGAUCAUGCCUUCAUUUUCACAUCCCAGAUAUUUCCCUCCCCAUGGAGGUGUUGCUCAGUGAGUGGGGCAGCAAGUGGCAAAGGCUUUCAAAGGUUACCCAUCAGCUGUGAGGGCCUUUCUGUUAACGCUCAGGGCCAAGAACUAAACCUACAGCCAAGUGCAACAAUCCCACUUUAAAAGAGUUUCUUGUACAAGGUGCAGCUGAGACCCUGUGGCCUGCAGCCGCCUGCUGGCAUCAUCUUAACACAGCUGGACCCGGCUUGGCCCUUCAUCUCCUCUGUAGAACAGCUGCUGCCCCAGUGUGUCCUCUCGGCCACGUGUGCGGUGACUUCGGUUACCAGCUGGAGCAUGCUGGCCUUUGGUAAUCUGCUCUAGUGUCUGGUCAUGGAGAGGAUGCAGGAGUCACUAGGUGUGGGGGAAGGGUGACACACAGUUGUCCCUGGCUAGUGGCUCCUGUCAAACUUCAGACAUUGGCUCAGACUAGCCUCACCUUCCCCUGCUGUGGACACGUGAGACGGGUUCACUUCACCCUGGCCUCCCACUUGCCUGCUUACAGGGCGAAUCCUUCUGUCUGGACAAGGGGUGGAGCUGGGGCACCUUGUUUGUCCUAUUGAUCCCACACUUCCUUCUUAGCCACUCCAUCCUUCUGGGAAUGGGGAUUAUCAGGGGACCCUUUCAUGUACCCCAAUGCAGAGACCGGCAACCAUAUGUCUGAUGGUGGUGCUGCCCAUCCCUCUCCUGAGCAAACAGCUGCUCUCUGAUUCUCUGCUGUGUCUGGCUGCUUGUCCAUCUGUCAGUCCAUCCUGACCAACUCCAAAGUGGCUUAGGGUCUUCAGGACACUUGCAGAUGCCUUUCUCUUCCCUCCCCCAUGCCCUGUUUUCACCGUUGCCAGCAUUAAUAUCUAUGCACAGGGUCUUUCGUUCCCAAAAGCUGUGCAAUCUACAUGCAAGGGGAACCGCUCCACCUCUCAUGGUAACACAGCCACCUCUGAGUGGAUCGUGGCAGCUGCUAUAAAGCUUGUCAUUUUGCCCUUUCCUCCUCCCCUUACUUUACAUUUUCUGACUUUCCUUGUUGAUUUAUAUUUUCAAAGGCACCUGAGGGAUGUGAAUGCUGUAGGCUUUGGAAACCCAGCCUUGAUCUGUAUCAUUUCCAUCUAGAAAUCCCUGGGCAGGGGUGGUCUCAACCCUUUCCCCCUCCCUUUUAUUUUUUAAUCUGGUAAAAGAUCCUGGGUUUAACUGCGGAGGCCAAGGAAGGUUGGCCCAGGAGUUUAGGGUACUAGCUUGAGACUUGGGAGACAUGGGUUCCAACAAGUUGCUUAAUUUCUCUCUGCCUCAAUUCCUCAUCUGUACAAUGGGGAUACUAGCAGCAUCCUACCUUGCAGGGCUGUUAUGACGAUAAAUACAUUACAGUCCUCAGGGACUACACUGAAGGGGCUCUAUAAGUACCUCAGAUAGGUACCCAACUCCUUGACUUACAUAGGUUCCCCACCAGCUGUCGGGUUGUGGUAAGGCUGCUGGGCCGGCACGUGGGAGGCCAGCUUUCUAUUCCUGGCUUUACUAGGUGACCGUGUACAUAUCACUUCCCUUCACUGUGUCUCUGUUUUCCCGCCCAGGCUCUGUCUGGUCUAUAAGGCUCUUCUGGGCAGGGGCCGUCUCUCAUUGGUUCUAUGUACGGCACCUGGCACAAUGAGGCCAUGAUCUUGGUAGGGGUCUCUAACUCAAACCCACCCGCAGGCAGCUGGUGCAGCCGCUAGGGGAUUCAGCUUGUAUUUUUAAAUGUGUAUUUAAUAUGAACUGUUUGUGUCACCAUGGGUGGUUAUAGCACUUUACAGAGCGCUAAGGAUUUUACAAUCUGGAUUAAAAAAAAAAAUGGAGCCAGGUCAUGAGGAGUCUGGUUUUAAUGGAUUCACCCUCAGAAGACUCUAAAUCCUCUUCCAAACCCCUGUUCCUUAGCCCUUGUCUAGGCCAACUUGCACUGAUUUAAAUAAACUGGGUGUGACUCCCUAGAUGGACACUCUUAUUUCAGUCUGAGUGGCUUAGUUUCCAUUAACCUGCUCCUAAUGGCGCUAAGCCUGGUUUGAACUGAAUUAAGUGUGUCCACACAGCCCUUUGCAUCAGUUUAACUAAACCAGUUUUACAUCACACUUUUAUUUAAAGCUUCUAAAUGUGGCUAGUCCCUUACAGACACUGACAUCAAGCACAAGGUUCUCUGACGUUCCAAAGCUGCACAGAAUGCUGUUUGCUUUAAUGGAGCAGCUGGCUGACUAUUUCCAAUCUGGCCUUGUUUACAAGACGGGAGCGUUCUGCUACAGAACUGAAGGGGCAGUGCAGCAUUGGGCCGGGGCUCCCAAGAACCAAACUGGGGCUGAGACAGAGCCGCAUGGGGCUCACUCUGGAUUGUGCGAUGUAUGCUUGUGGCCCUGCAGCGGGUGCAGCUGGGACCCACUGUUCAGCAUGUGUUCUCUGCUUGUGCCUGGUCCACAAAGGCUGCGAGUCUGUUCCAAUCCCAGUGUAAUCCCUGAUUCCCGUACCGAGUGCCUUACCCUGCGCCAAAGUCGGGGGCUGAUGGCCCAGUCCCUUGGUGGGUCAGGACGUGAGCAUGGGUGUCAAUGUCGGAGGAAUAAAUAAUGAAGUUGCGGCACAAGGGGGCAGGUACCAGCUGUUGUAAAGUGGGAUUCCAGCAGCGUUGACCUCAGUGAUUUGCCCCAGCUGAGGAUCUAGCCCAAGGGUGGUUUUUAUGUUCGCUCUUACUUUAAAGGCCGUAUUCGGACUUCAGAGUAAAUCUGGAGUUACACCAUUGACUUAGACUUUAAGGCCGGACGGGAUCGUGCUCAUCUCGUCUGACCUCCUGCACAGUGCAGGCCGCGGAUCCUCGCUCACCCACUGGAACGAGGCCAUUCCAGCCUGGCGUCACUGUGAAUUAGCAGUGCCCCGCCAGCUCAGCGCUGGAGUGAUGCAGCUCUGCAAAGCCCGUCUCUCCUGGGCACCGGUUCUGAUCUUGCUUCUGCCGGUUCUACAACACGGAGCACCAAUGCUAAUGGAGUUACACCUGAUUGAGCCCACUCAUGAGAGCAGAAGCAGGCCCAGGGUCUCUUGUUUGUUUUGACUGAGAAUGUCGGCUAGGAGGAUGCUUGUGUUUAAACUAUAAAGGAUUUUUUGAGCUAAGAUAGGAAAGAAAUCUGUGAACGUAUUGUUACUAUUUCUGUUGCUGCAGUACCGAGGCAUCGGAGGGUUUCUCAUUUUGUGCCUUGCCUGUAAAGCUUCACCAGAUUUUUAGGACCGAAUGAUGCUCUACGGCUAACGAAAAUGGUUUUGCUUCUAACAGCAGCAGCUUGGAAGGGCAGCAGCCCAAUCGCUCCAUAACCUUCGGCUUCACCAAAUCCGCUCGGUGCUGCAACCGCGAGAUUCCCCUGCUGUUGUCUAUGUGGUGACGGAUCUGCCCUGGCUGUGUCUGAACAGAGCACUGGGGCAGAGGUGAUGGGCUCGGUCCUCAAAAGAACAUGGCGUGUUGUGAAAACGUGACCAUGCGCGUCCCGGUGGGAGCUGCUGGGCUCUGAUCAUGUGUGCAGAUCUGGUCCUUACUCUGCUGCCUAAAUGGGAGCUGAACUCUGUGGGAAAUCCGGCCCUGAGCAGUUGUCGCGGGGCUGGGAUGUGAUAGCCAGAGAGAGGGGAGAUGGGUGGGUGCAUGGUCACAACUGGCAGGAGUCCACAGGACAAUCUCACUCUGAAGAUGUGGGCCACAUGAGGAGAAAGGUGGGACCUCUGCUCCUAAAUUUCUGUGCAGCCUCUUGACUGUAUUUGGAAGUCACGGUAAUGUGCCCCUGCCCCAAGUGGCCCUGGAGACACUUUGCCUUAAGGCAGCGUUUCUUGACCUGUGGCCCAGCUGUGUGCUAAAGGCCACCAGGACGCACGGCGGGGUCCAGGUUCCUGGCCGUCUGGCAUGGCGGGGGUCCAGGACAGCCACCGCUUGCUGGCCCCACUGCCGGCAGGGGUCUAGGAUCGCCACCUGGCCCCACUGUCUGGCGGGGGUCCAGAGUUGGGGCUGCCGGCCAGCUGCCUUGCUGCCUGGCCUUGCGCAGCCAGAUCCAGGGUCAGGGCUGACUCCCGGCCCCACACAGCCCCCUGCCCAGGGCUCUGCUCUUGGCCCCACUCUGUGGAGGGGUCUCUGAGCCAGAGGUACUGCGCAUAGGGGUCUUUGGAGGGACCCACAAUGAUAAAUAGGUGGAGAACCACUGCCUUAAGGGAAGAGAAUUCAUCUCCAUUCCAGAAUGGACACAGAGCUGUCAGAGAGUGGGACUCUGGUAGCAGCCAGGGCUGGGGUGUUACGAUCUGACACUCCCCUGGCGCACCCCCAAUCUCCUGUAAUGCACCUACUGUACAGCACUGGGGGGUCAGGCCUGUAGUGCCAGGGGGCUUAGUGGGAGUUCCAUGCCAGUACGCACUGCAUGAUGAUCUGGGCCAGUAUCACCGCGGAGGUGAGGGGGAGGGGAGAGAUGUCUUCCUACCCCCAGCUGGUGAUCAGUGUGUGCAUCAAAGCAUGAGGAUUGAUGGCCCUGCUCGCUUUAUCUGAGUGGGUGUAAUUGCAGCUGUUCCUUAUUCAUGGCGGCGUUUUCAUUCCCUCUCCCAGAAUUCCCAUCCUUGGUUGCUUCUUAAAGCAGCCCCCUGACUGUGAGUUCACCAUCAGUCCUCUUGGUCAUUCCCUUCCCUUUCUGUCCUUUGUUGGGUGGCACAGCUCCUGCGGGCAAGAGGUGCAGUGGGGUGGGGGCUUCUGUCUGCUUCCAUGUGAAAUGCAUCAGAGCAGGUGUGUGUGGGCAAAGCAUAGAGACACAUGCCGUCUGCCCAGGCGGGGAAGCUGUCUGUCUUCAUUUUGCAAAUGUAAGUAACUCAACCAGGCUUUUGCCCCGGCCAAGUGGAAAAAACAACCAAGCAGGAACAAGGACAGCGAGUCCCUAGCAAACUUUGAUUUCCAAGGUUGUCUCAUCCUGGAGAAGGGUAAGUGUGUGAGUGAAAAUGGAAAUGGACAGAUCUGUCUCUCACGCUAACGGCAUAUGUAAAUGCCAGGUGUUUUAAAGGGAGGGCCAAGAUAAUAGCACUCACUGCUGCCGGAGGGGUUUCUGUCCAUCCAUCUCACAGCUCUUCACUAUGGUGUGUCAGUGUUAUCUCCAUUCUACAGAUGGGGAAACUGAGGAAUGGAGUGGGGCCGAUGUGUCCAAGUUGGUGACCAAACUGGGGCUGUAGCAUGUGGGGCUGAGUGAGCAGCGGUGCAUCACACAGCCUAGAGCCAAAGGCAUGUGUCCUGUGCCGUUUGUUUCAGCAGCAUGCACACACCGUCCUGCAAAUCCUUCUGGUGCCAGCAAACCGGACCUGCUUGGGUGAGCAGCUCAGGAGCAAUUGUGGACCUGAUCUUUGAUGUUUCCACUCUGGAAAACAUAAUCUGUGCUAAUGCACCCACCCCACCAGCUCAAGGUUUAGGGGGCUAUUGAAAGCCAGGCAGUGCCUGAGCUGUGUUAGCCCUUCAGUUUAACUGCAUUAGCUUGAGAGGUAGCAUGAUAUAACUGACUGGACCCAGGACCAACCCGGCCCUGCUGGGGCUCUAUGCCUGGCUCUCCCAUUGACCCACAGUGUGACCCUUGGCUAUGUCUUGAGGAUCAAUUAGCACCUUAUAGGAGCUGUGGGUGCUCUGCCCUUCAAGCCCUGACCGCCCCAUAGAAGUCAAUAUGAGUUUUGCUAUUGCUUUCAGUGGGCAGGAGACUGGGUCCUUAGUUUGCCUUGUGCUUUGCAAAUGUAAAGUGUGAGGUGUUGUUUCCUGGUAAGUCAUGAGUGCUCAGACCACAGGCCAGGUGCCAGUAACUGUCUGGAGGAAACAUACCCCAUGUUUGACCCAUUUCCCAGGUUGAGCAUCUUCCCUUUGCUUCCUCCAGACCUGCAGGCUCAUGCUGAGAGGAACAGAUGCUCCUAUGGUGUCCCCCAAGAUGGAAUGCUGAAGUGGGGAAACGAUGCCUUGCUUAUACUUGUAGGAAAACUCCAUGCUGGAGCCUGGUAGAAGAGAGGAAAGGAGCGAAACACCCUAAGGAAAGAUGAGAAAGCUGAGCACCAGAGGAAUGAAGCAGGAAUGGAAGACUCCCUUUGACCUGAGUGGGCUUUGGAGAAGGCCCCUUAAGCCAUUGUAUGGUUUGUGUGUCUGCCUGUUUAUCAGCCCACAGUGAAGGUCUCUCUAAACAGAAAAUCUCUUCUUUGGAAAGAUUUGAACUUGUCGCUGUUUGUUACUUAACACUGACAAGUAACCCGCCUUCCCCAUCCUCUCAGCCCAUGGCUGAGCAGCGCUGUCCUAUUUCUGUUAAGAGCUGAUCACCACUGUCCAAUUGGUUUUUUUCGCAUGUGUGGAAAAAUGCAGGGUCUUCUCCAUAACAGAACUGCAGCCUGAUUUGGGAUACGGGGCAGGAGAGGUGAAGUUCCAAUUUAAAAAAAAAAAAAAAAAAAAAUUCUAUUUCAAAAAAAUAAACUCUUAUUAAAGCCUUCAGGGGUCUAGUGUUUGGGGCCUGAUCCAAUGGCGAUGGACAUCAUAUGCAGACUCCCACUGACUUCAAUGGAUCAGUCUCCUGAGGAUGCUCUCCCUGCUUCAGCCUAGCGCUGAAUAGCUCAAGGGGAAGAGUUCCCUGGUGUUGCCUUGUGCCGUCAGUUUAGCUAUGAAAAAAAUGGACAGCCUGAUCAAUCACAUUAUGAUCCUUCUACAGCUUGAGCAGGACUGGCUGGCAGCAGACCUUUGGCCCCCUCUCCUGGAGCUCAAGAAUGAGUGACCUUACCCAGGGGUACUUUCCUAAUGGCCUACCAUCAAAUUAGCCCUAUAUCAGAAAAAUGCCCAUUAAGGCUUAUAAUGAGCUGCCACUCCAUCUCUGAGGCUGGAGCUAGCCUGACACCUGCCUGGCUGCUUUAUUAUAAUGAAUUUCCUUAGCAGUGGGGUAAAAAUAUUUCUGUGGGGUCUCUUAGCAAUUUAAAUUGGCUGGGGCCUACACACCCACAAGUGAGGUCCGUUAGAUUUUAACUCUACUUCAAAGGCAAUAUAGGAGCUUGGGUGGCUGGAAAUACUGAACGACAGGAAAGAAACGCAGUUCUCAAGAAACCAGCAGCAGGAUUAAAGAUGAGAUGCCUGUGAAAUGCAGGGAGAAAGGUAGCACUCAGCUCUGCCUUGCCUAGGAUCUGAAGAUGGUCACCUGCUAAACUGGGGGGUGUGGGAAGAGGCAUUUAUUUUUCCAGGGGAAAAUCAAAAUCACAACCUUAAAAACCUGCACUUUGCAUUCGAAAGGGGCACCCGCGAAGUCAUUUACAGAAUUGCCGCAUUCCUUAAUGACUCUCAUCAAGGCCUGAUCCAAACCUCAUUCCUGGGAGCCUUUGCAGGGGCUUUUGGGUCAGGAACAUCACUAAGUAAAUAAAGCCCCAGUGGGGCGGUGAGUCACCAUUGGCCUGCCCCUGGCACAGUCACUGACACUGGCUCAAUGUAUGUACCCAAUGCCAGCAGAUCAGACUGGGGCUUGGUGUUUUUGCACUCUGGGCUGUACCAGUGUUUGGUGAAUCAGGCCCCCUCUGCGCUCCAUCAUUUGGUCAGCAGGCUCUACCAUGCCAUGAACUACGUCUAAUGGCAGUGGGCGUUUGGCUCAUUUUCACCCACUGCUGGGUAAACUCCUGGCUCCACUGAAGGCAAUGGAAAUUUUACUUCUAGGGGGGCCAGGAUUUCACCCCUUAUGUUUAACUCCAAUGCUGUUUUUCUGUCUUUUAGCUUCUUCUUUCCCUUUCCUGGAAGAGUCCUAUAAAUAAAAGUCACAGGGUAAGAGAGACGGAUGCAAACAGACAAAAGAACAGGGUUUUUUGUUAAAAACUUUCCACUGAAACAUGCUC